CGCGGCCUAUCAGCUUGUUGGUGAGGUAACGGCUCACCAAGGCAUCGACGGGUAGCUGGUCUGAGAGGAUGAUCAGCCACACUGGGACUGAGACACGGCCCAGACUCCUACGGGAGGCAGCAGUGGGGAAUAUUGCACAAUGGGCGCAAGCCUGAUGCAGCAACGCCGCGUGCGGGAUGAAGGCCCUAGGGUUGUAAACCGCUUUCAGCAGGGAAGAAAAUGACGGUACCUGCAGAAGAAGGUGCGGCCAACUACGUGCCAGCAGCCGCGGUGACACGUAGGCACCAAGCGUUGUCCGGAUUUAUUGGGCGUAAAGAGCUCGUAGGCGGUUCAGUAAGUCGGGUGUGAAAACUCUGGGCUCAACCCAGAGACGCCACCCGAUACUGCUGUGACUUGAGUACGGUAGGGGAGCGGGGAAUUCCUGGUGUAGCGGUGAAAUGCGCAGAUAUCAGGAGGAACACCAGUGGCGAAGGCGCCGCUCUGGGCCGUAACUGACGCUGAGGAGCGAAAGCAUGGGUAGCGAACAGGAUUAGAUACCCUGGUAGUCCAUGCCGUAAACGGUGGGCGCUAGGUGUAGGGGGCUUCCACGUCUUCUGUGCCGUAGCUAACGCAUUAAGCGCCCCGCCUGGGGAGUACGG
This 638-nucleotide ribosomal RNA is filed under the name uncultured bacterium. RNAcentral describes it as "bacterial SSU rRNA". It matches the Rfam family "Bacterial small subunit ribosomal RNA", at positions 232 to 885 of the family's 1533-position model. The record is from RNAcentral.